GAGGUCUUAGCUUAACUAAAGUGUCUGAGUUGCAUUCAGGAGAUGCGGUUUUAUUCUGCAGGCCUU
This 66-nucleotide transfer RNA is filed under the name Hemidactylus albofasciatus (white-striped viper gecko). RNAcentral's name for it is "tRNA-Ala". It matches the Rfam family "tRNA". From Rfam's summary of the family: Transfer RNA (tRNA) molecules are approximately 80 nucleotides in length. Their secondary structure includes four short double-helical elements and three loops (D, anti-codon, and T loops). The record is from RNAcentral. Lineage: Eukaryota; Metazoa; Chordata; Lepidosauria; Squamata; Gekkonidae.